CCGUGUUUCGAGUUACUCCGGAACACAGUGUUUAUUCUGUGUUUAGUCACGCCGCGUCAAAAAUGUUCCACAGGGUUACUUCCGGUUUAUCGUUGUUUACCUUUGUUUACCAACAGUCGACACUUCGUGUAUUAGGCCUAGGCUUAAUUUUGUCGAUCAUCAUGAAAUUGAAAUACACAUUUAAUAGUUUGGGGUGUAUGCGGUACAUAUUUGUUUAUGAGCGUUUGAUAAGCUACUAUUGAUCUACGAAAUACAACGAAAGACUUCGUCAAGAACAGAAGACGAUGUCGUGUAACUCACACAAGGCCCGGCCCAGCUGUCUAGUAACCGGAGGAGUAAAGGAAAAGAACGUAUUAGACUCACUGAAACCUGUCAAACUGGUUAAUGGGAACAGGAUAAUUUUCCAUGCCUUUCACUUGAGGUCUUCAGUUUCAUCAUUAAUCAUCUGAAUGUCGGUAUGCCAAACUCUCAUGAUGUCAUGCCAUUACUGGAUAUUCCUUAACACUGGUUUAUUUAAACCACACUACCUAUAACAUUGCCAAAUAUUAGACUGAAAAUUUUCAAAUACACAAGAUUUGAAGCAGCAAAAGAAAAGAAUUACAUAUGUAUAACACACAAAAAAGAAGAAAUUAAUUCUCACCUGGCUGAUAUGAACUUUUUACUCCUUUUUAGCUCCCUUUCACUGCAUACCAGCCAAUAACUAGCAGUCAUUAUAUGCAGAUCAGCCAUUGUUAUCAACCUGUGUAUAUAUAUGUUGAAUAAAAUAUGAAUGAAAA
Long non-coding RNA from Ostrea edulis (European flat oyster), 776 nucleotides. RefSeq lists it as uncharacterized. NCBI's taxonomy places the organism in Eukaryota, Metazoa, Mollusca, Bivalvia, Ostreida, Ostreidae. The record is from RefSeq and is a predicted model, not a curated record. The transcript is spliced from 2 exons.